CCUACGGGGGGCAGCAGUGAGGAAUAUUGGUCAAUGGCCGAGAGGCUGAACCAGCCAAGUCGCGUGCGGGAAGAAUGUCCUAUGGAUUGUAAACCUCUUUUAUCCGGGAGCAACGUCACCCACGUGUGGGUGUUGGAGUGUACCUGAAGAAAAAGCAUCGGCUAACUCCGUGCCAGCAGCCGCGGUAAUACGGAGGAUGCGAGCGUUAUCCGGAUUUAUUGGGUUUAAAGGGUGCGUAGGCGGGUUAUCAAGUCAGCGGUAAAAUCGUGGAGCUCAACUCCAUCCAGCCGUGGAAACUGGUGUGCUUGAGUGGGCGGAAAGUAGGCGGAAUGCGUGGUGUAGCGGUGAAAUGCAUAGAUAUGACGCAGAACUCCGAUUGCGAAGGCAGCAUACCGGCGCCGGACUGACGCUGAAGCACGAAAGCGUGGGUAUCGAACAGGAUUAGAUACCCGGGUAGUC
Molecule: ribosomal RNA, 459 nt
Filed under: uncultured bacterium
Lineage: Bacteria
Description: partial 16S ribosomal RNA
Rfam family: Bacterial small subunit ribosomal RNA
Source: RNAcentral